RNAcentral lists this long non-coding RNA (1013 nucleotides) under Bemisia tabaci. RNAcentral describes it as "lncRNA ENSASIAIIG005689". The record is from RNAcentral. Lineage: Eukaryota; Metazoa; Arthropoda; Insecta; Hemiptera; Aleyrodidae.
AGUUCUGGUGGAAUUCCAUGCGGUACAGAUAAAAGACUGAAAGACGCUCCCAACAGGAAGAGAAAAAUAUUAGGUAAGUGAAACCAUCUCUGAAAAUAAGAGUUUAAUUAUCUGCAGGAAAAGCAAAAGUGACAUUUGUCCACAAGAAUUCAAAAUUGAGGAGCUGUUUACGAAAAGGGUCUUUGGUGCCUAGGACCCCUUAUGUGGAAAACAGAGUAAAUGAUUCUCAUAAUUGAUCGUUAACCAUUACAAAGCUAGUAUGCCUCAAAAACAGAAACAAAAAAGGAAACAUGGUCAGGCCGAAAAUCUUGGUUGGAUCUCAUUUGAAUGAUGAAAUCCAAAACAUUUUCCUAAGGUAAUAGUACUCACUUUUUACUCAUGCUCUGAUCCUUAUUUGUUAGAAGUUACAGUAGUCUUUCUUUCCUUUCUGAUAGAUUUUAAAAAAAUCACCUUAAUUUGUCUGUCAGGAGUGUCUGCAAGAAUUGAUUGAAUAUGAUUUGGAAGUUAGGGUAGCGAGUUCGUGAAAAGCCAUUGAAAACCUGAAAAAGUCGGGGAAUUUUGCUGCGGACUCUUGAUUUCUUUCUUUCGAUCGCAACAUUUAAUUAUUCUCCAUCACAACCACAAGCUCCAUUGCGGAAAUUAGAACUUUGGCCUUUAAGUUCUUGAAUUUUGAAUUUUUUCAAUUUUUGAAAACUUAGCGAGAGAAACCUUUUGUGGAAAGCAUUUUUAUAAGAAAUUUCAGAAAUAAAAACAUUGAAAAUGCAUGAAAAUCCUGGGAAUGUAACACUCAUGUAAUUGAAGAGCUUGUGCAUUUUUAUACCUUUUUAAAAAUUAAUUUAACUAUUUUGCCUUUGCAUCUGUUUUAGAAAUGUUAGAUGCUGCUUCAGAGUAUGAAGGAGUAUUAUCAAAGAAGGUUCGCUCUAUCACUUAAAGUAGAACACAAGCAGUUUUCGGUCAAGGUGCUAAUCCCUCUGCAUAUAUUCUACCUGUGUCUGCAGUUGUACCAUGCCUAA